This 419-nucleotide ribosomal RNA is filed under the name uncultured bacterium. RNAcentral describes it as "partial 16S ribosomal RNA". It matches the Rfam family "Bacterial small subunit ribosomal RNA", at positions 355 to 762 of the family's 1533-position model. The record is from RNAcentral.
UGGGGAAUUUUGGACAAUGGGGGGCAACCCUGAUCCAGCCAUGCCGCGUGAGUGAAGAAGGGCCUUCGGGUUGUAAAGCUCUUUCAGUGGGAACGAAACGGCGGGCUCUAACAUAGCCUGUUAAAUGACGGUACCCACAGAAGAAGCACCGGCUAACUACGUGCCAGCAGCCGCGGUAAUACGUAGGGUGCGAGCGUUAAUCGGAAUUACUGGGCGUAAAGCGUGCGCAGGCGGUUUCGCAAGCUAGGCGUGAAAGCCCCGGGNUUAACCUGGGAAUGGCGCUUAGGACUGCGAGGCUAGAGUACGGCAGAGGGAGGUAGAAUUCCCACGUGUAGCAGUGAAAUGCGUAGAGAUGUGGAGGAAUACCGAUGGCGAAGGCAGCCUCCUGGGCCUGUACUGACGCUCAUGCACGAAAGCGU